AUCAUGUUCCAGCGCAUUGAGUAUGUAUUCAAAGAAGUUAGGUUGUUCUCCAGAAUUGGCUCUCUCCUAAAGGUCAAAAC
RNAcentral lists this long non-coding RNA (80 nucleotides) under Dasypus novemcinctus (nine-banded armadillo). RNAcentral describes it as "Deleted in lymphocytic leukemia 2 conserved region 5 (ENSDNOG00000037133.1)". It matches the Rfam family "Deleted in lymphocytic leukemia 2 conserved region 5". Lineage: Eukaryota; Metazoa; Chordata; Mammalia; Cingulata; Dasypodidae. The record is from RNAcentral.